Molecule: long non-coding RNA, 9698 nt
Filed under: Eucalyptus grandis
Lineage: Eukaryota; Viridiplantae; Streptophyta; Magnoliopsida; Myrtales; Myrtaceae
Description: long non-coding RNA (EGRA_LNC003948)
Source: RNAcentral
GAAAUCGAGAACAUCAUGGUUUUCGCGGGUUUGAAUCCAAAGGCCGAAUCGGCGACCACUUCAGCCAGUUAUGAGGAGGCGAGUAAGGGGUAUGCUGCACAUCCCUACGGCAAUGAAGACUUCUCACAGUAUAGUGGGGGCUUCCCACCUUCGAGGAUCGAACCCCAGUAGGCAAAUUACAGUCAUGAUCAGCUUCAGUGUACAUUAAGAAAAUCAAACUAGCAUAUGUAGUCAUGACCAACUCUUUCCAGAUGUUCAGGUCUUGUGAUGUUUGUAUCAUAUUGAGAAUUUAAUCAUGUAAAAUUGCUGGCCUCUAUGUGUAAGUAGAAUUCUGAAGGAAGUAAUCAUUCGUCUUCCACCUGUACAACCAGCGGAGAAGACAGUGUAUGGACUCGUUUUUUGAGUGAUUGGGAGGAUAUGAGGGCCACCACGAACACCUUGUAACUUCCUGGACUGCCGGUUCUGGCUUGCCUGCUUCUUCGCAUAGUCUUCACCGCUCGCCAUGUCUCGUGAAUCUUGCCAAUGAGCGAAGGCUGCUUGUGCUUCUGAAGUAGAGGAAGGAAGAAAAACGCAUAAAUGUUCUGCUGUGUUAACCUUUGAACCAAAUAAUAAGAUGACUAGAUGAGUAUGUCAGAAAUAAAAGAAGUUGGUUAUUUAAAGAAAAUCCAAUAAAUGUUAGUAAUGAACUCAGAGAGUUAAUAACGCUAGAUUAACUAGUCAUAGAAUUGUAUAAAAUGAUUAAUGAGUCAGGUAAAUAAAAAUGGUAAUUUAAAACGAAAAUAAAUAUUAAUAAGUACUAAAUAAAUGUGGUAACUUAAUCGGAGAAAAGAUAGUAAGUUAUAUUAAAAAAAUGGUUUUUCUAUAUAAUGGUUAGUAAACGUGAGGUGUCGCUAAUAUAGGUAAAUAAAUGUGGUUAACAAUGCAAGAUGCAUUUGUGUUGUUAGAUCUAAGAGCAGAUGGUAAAUUAAUAGCAAAAUAAUCCAAAUAAAUAUUGGUAAAUAACUCAAAUAAGUGUUGGUAAUGUAAAGCUAGUUGGAAUUAGAGAAAAUUCAAUCACUCAACUUGAUAAUUUUCAAAAUGAAUUGGUAAAAAAGUUUGUUAGUAGAGCAAAUAAAAGUGAUAACUCGAUAGAAAAAGUUGGUGAAUAUAAUAGCAACAAAUAAAUACUAAUAAGCAACUCUAUUGAUAACCGUUAGCUAGUUAACUAUCUAAGAAAAGUAAGUCACACAAAUAAAGAUUGAUAAAUCAUUUACAGUUGGCAAAUUUAAGCUGUUUGGUAGAAAGGCACAUAAAAAUUGGUGAAGGAUGAGAGAAGCUUUUUUUUUCUUUUUGUGGAUCAAAGAGUAGGCAAGUUGGUAUUUAAAAAAGAAAAGACCAAUUAAAUAUUAGUAAUUAACUCAUGCAGGAGCUGGUAAUGCAUUAUUAGUUGGUACGUGAAAAGUUGACAAUUACUUUAAUUGAGAUUUGUGAUUAUAAAAAGAGUUGGUAGUGAGAUAAAUAAAGGUGGUAAUUCAUAGAAAAGUUGAUAAAUAAUUAGAACAAAUAAAUGUUAGUAAUAUGCAAUUCAAAUGAGAAUUGGUAACAAAAAAAUUGUCAGUAACAAACUCUUUUUAUCAAGUCUUUUGAUACUUAUCAAAUCUCGAGGAAAUCCACUAGCACGAAAUAGAAUUUGUUUCUUUCAACAGAAUAGUAGAAUCGUCUAGGGCUCAAAAAAGCCCGCAAGUAACCAAAUUUAAUCUUAUCAAUAAACAUGAAUCCGAGCUGCAAUUACAUCUAAAUCAACUAUCUAUACCCUGACUCUUUCAUUCAAUAUGUUCUCAUUGACUUCAUAUUGACUUCAUAAUUAUUUAUUGUGAAGCUCUGCUCACCACAUUGCAUUGAACAUUGUUAUGCUUGGAGAUGAGGACUGCUCUAAAGUCUCCACUUAAAUAAAUUUAUUGCUCCUUAAACUUCACCAAACGAAGACAUCGUUUUAUUUUAUUAUGACUUGAUUGUACUUGGUGGGAGCAAAACUUAGCAACUUGGUCUCCCUCCUUCCCCGUCCAAACUGUACUACAAACCUAUCUUUGCAUGUCUCAAGCAAAUGUUUUUUCUGGCCCAAUUCAGUUGAAUGAUUCUUCGAAAACGACCAGACGGUCGUUGACUCUGCUACUAAUGUCAUGGACGCCACCAGUGUCUGCGCGUACAGGUUACUUCAUUCGUAAACUUGUCGUUUUCUACCUUUCUCCAUCAUCUUCGACCCAUUUUUCGGUGCUCAUCUUCUCUCUUCUUAAUCAUUCGGACUUUGUGACAUGGCAUUGACUGAGUAAACUCCCCCCAUUAAAAUAAAUGUAGCAAUUGGAGAAAAGAAAUGCAGACGAAUAUGGUUCUGGCGGGCUGAUGUUUACAUUUCUCGUCAAUUGGAUCAACGAGACUCCAAUUCAUAGUUGUCACGGCCAAGACUUUUCUUUUUCCCUGAUAAAAAAAAAAGAAAAGAUUGCUAGGAAAGAAAUAUAUGCUGGGAGUUCGCAGCCAGCCAUUCAUUUUGCCAUCAUGUCAACCGAGUUGAAGUGUCCCUUGAGGAAGAAUUCAAUGUGAUGCAACUGCCGAAGCUGAAAGAAGAGCAUUGAGUUCUCCAAGUUUUGAGAUUCUAAGUCAUGGAUGUGCGAGUUCUGGCAAUUCUGCUAGUUUUUCUCCUUGGAGAUUCCACUGGAGAUGCAGCUACAAAUCCUUAUGAUUGUAAGCUUAAUUUCUUGACAUUUAUUUCCCAAAAUGUGUUAUUCAUAUAGUUGAAUUUGCGAAUUCCACAAAUCCUCUCGCCUGGACUUUUUGCAUGUUUCUGAGCCACUGCCGCUUAGAUGAACUAAGGUUCCUCCUAGUCAGAGGAUGUCACAACAUUUAGAGGAAUCAGUUUGUCCACAACCAAUCACAAGAGCCCUAUUGCACUGAACUUUUUUGAGAUAUCGUUGUUCCCUAUAUUCCUAUCAACAAUGCUAAAAUCAAUUUUGGGCAGAUCUAAGUCUGUUUUCUCCCCCUUUUGCCUGCCUCUUUGAUUAAUGGUGCCUUUAUCGUCUGCUAUUUUGCCUUAAAAAUUUUCAGAAAAUAAGUAGCUGGAGAUAAAUUUUGCAAUGCAUCGACCAAGUAAAUCUAACUGAUUGUUGUCUUUAGAGUUGGUCAAAAUAAUGAAAUUUGUUAUACAUCUAUUGCUGGUAUGAUUUUUGUUUAAGCAUGUUCUGGCCUUGGAAGUCAUUAUCUUACUUACAGGUCAUUCUCACAAAUUUGGUUUUGGUACAACGACCAUGCUAGUUUCGUUUGAUAAGGGAAUCAGUUACGAAUAUUUUACAGGGUCUUAGCCCCUCUGGUACAAAGAUCCUGCUGUUGGUUGGCUAUUCAAGCAACCAAAGUUCUGGAUUGUGAUCCUUAGAUCCACACAGAACUGUUGGAUUACUGCUAUUCAAUACACACACAAGACAUAUGCAUUUAUUAUUUUCUCAUUGUUCAACUGGUCGUAUUCAAACGCAGUCAGUGCAAUUAUGGGGCUUAAAAGUGAUUGGCAAAAUACACCACCCAACUGGGUGGGGACUGAUCCUUGUGGCAAUGGCUGGGAUGGGAUUCACUGCACCAAUUCUCGCAUUACUUCCAUGUAAUUUUUUAGCAUCCUUUUGGACUUCAUAUUUGAUAAUCUGCAUUUCAUAAUUAUAUCCAUAUGUGCAGUUAAUUGGACUCUCUUAAUUUCAGAACGUUGUCGAGCAUGGGUUUGACAGGUUCGCUUUCGGGAGACAUUGGACAAUUGUCUAAAUUACAGAUUCUGUAAAUUCACUAUCUCUUUCACUUCCCAGAUUAUCUUCAAUGCAAGGACUUAAUUACCACAUUUGUUUCCCAUGUCUUUUUCUACCGAGAGAACAUAUAGGACACAAAUUUCUGUGAAAUUGGAUGUAUUGACCAUAACUGAAGGCAAUUAUUGAGAAGACGGGCUUAAGUUUUUAUUUUGCUGUUGUCAUGUAUGUAGUCCUCCCAUCUAGAUUCUUGUACUUUCCUCUCUCCCAUGCAUCCUAUAAUGCAUGUGAAGCUGUCGAUGAUGUGCAGGUAGGGGGAUUCAUGUCUAGAAUUUGGUCUUUUUUUAUCUGUUUUAGCUGCCUGAAAUGGUCCUCUGUAAGUUGUUACUGAGUAUAAUAAGCCUUUCGUGUAGGGACCUAUCUUACAACAAGGGUCUGACUGGAUCUCUUCCUGUACAAAUAGGAAACUUGAUGAAGCUCACGAACUUGUAAGCUUUAUAAAUCAGCAUUUCUAGUAUAUUCUGUGUCCCCUGACUUUCAAAGUUGAAAAUGACCAACCUGCCUUUUCAUCUCAAAAUGCAAGAAUCCUGGUGGGUUGUGGAUUUUCUGGUCAAAUACCAGAUUCCAUUGGAUCUCUACAUAACCUGGUGUUUCUGUAAGUUCUCUCCCCCAUAUACUUGAUUGGGACAUGACACGUACAUGACCAGUUUUUGGACAAGCUAGAACAUGUUUUGCUUGACUCAAUUCAACAAUGAAUUGUUUUAACCUCCUGUUGGAGUUCUUUCUUGAAUGUACUAUAAAAUAUUGUUGUCAGCUCAUGCUUUACUUAUUAAUCUGACAGUCACAUAUUUUCUCCCGACCUUCGCAAGCGUCUGAAUUCGUCCUUCCAAUAUAUUGCAGAUCUCUAAAUUCAAAUGAAUUCAGUGGGCUGAUUCCCCCUACCAUUGGUAACCUUUCUAGGCUCUACUGGCUGGAUCUAGCUGACAAUCAGCUAACUGGAUCUAUUCCGGUAUCAAAUGGAAGCAAUUUUGGCCUUGAUAUGCUACUUCACACGAAGCACUUGUAUGAGCAUGUCUUCCAGUUUAUCUCGCUGUAUCUGUGAACUUUCAUUUUUGUUGUGCUAUCUGACUAAUAUUAUGCUUCAUGACAGUCAUUUUGGACAGAACCAACUCUCUGGCACGAUUCCUUCCCAAUUAUUCAGUUCUGGGAUGAAUCUCAUUCAUGUGUAAGUUCUGAUAACCCACUAGGGCACUGCAGCUGGUCUAUUCAUUGUUUCCUAAAGGCUUCUCAAGCCUUAUAUAAAGAAAGUUAAAUCCUCUCUCUCUCUCUCUCUCUCUCUCUCUCUCUCUCUCUCUAACCUUCACAUCUUUGUUAUCCUCGCUUGAUACUUGAAGCAUCUCUCUUUAAGAGAGGCAGUGAAAAGCUGAGAAUGCAAUGGCCUGCUUAUCCUUUAUUUUAAGAUAGGAAUCCUUAUAAACUUUUCAACUACGCAGGCUUUUUGACAGCAAUCACCUCACAGGUAGCAUCCCUUCCACACUUGGACUGGUGCAAAGUUUGGAAGUUGUGUAAGUAUUUAUGGUUCUACACAAUCGUUGUGAGGAUUAAUUGUGCUCAUUGCACUUCCAGUCAAUGUUUAACCUAUUUCAAUGGUUACAGACGCUUUGAUAGGAACUCUUUAUAUGGUGCAGUGCCUGCAAAUCUCAGCAAUCUUACAUCCGUUCAAGAACUGUAAGCAAAACAUAAUUCUCGUUGUGUCAUUUCACUAUUUUCCGUGCAUAUCAUUAUAAUCAAUCUUUUAAAUUUACUGGUCUACUCUUUAGUCUUCUUUCCAACAAUAGGCUAACUGGUCCAUUGCCCAACCUUGCUGACAUGAACAAUCUCAACUACUUGUAAGUAAUAAUUGUCUUACAAUUAGCUAAUUUCACAUGGUGUAAUUGCGGAUCAUUUAUGAGUUCUCUGAGGGAGCAGAGAACAUGGUGAAAUGUAAAAGAUUAUCUUUGACUCCUUUUCUUAAUUUUGAAUUCGCCAUUGCUUAUUGUCCCACCAUGACUACGUAAAACAUGGACUUUGACUGACAAUGGUGGAUUUGCAGGGACUUAAGCAAUAAUAGUUUGACGCGACAGAUUUCCCUACAGCCCUUUUGAUUGUUGUGCAGGAGAGAUGACCUCAAUAUCUCACUCAUGGUGCAGUCGAGUUCUAUUGUAAGCCUUCUUCAAACCCCCCCCCCCCCCCCCCCACCUUGAAAUGGAACAUGACAUUUCAUUGUUUUCUGGUUGUGGGUUUCGGACUAGUCCCUUUGCUAAAGAAAAAAAUAGAAGAUCUCUACGUAAAUAAUAGGGUCAUACCUUUUAUCAAUUUCAGAAUAUUGGAACGCACACAAGUUCGAGGAGAGUUACCGGUCAUCCUUUUCAGCAUUUUCAGUUUGCAAAAAGUGUAAGUAUCAUCUCAAUCUCAAUAUUUACCUCAACGUAAUGGACAUAUACUUAUUCAAAACUCAGACCUGCUUCAUUCAAUUAACUUCCUGGUAAGUUCCAACUUGGGCAUUAGAAAUGAUGGCUGAACAUGUGAAUUUCCUGUGACGUCAGGGUCUUAAGAAACAACCAGCUGAAUGGAACCUUGGAUAUAGGCACCAGCCAUGGCAAUCAAUUGCAACUCAUUGAUCUCCAGACCAAUUUUAUCGAUAACUUCAAGCAGAGUACUGGAGUUUACAGUGUCAAGGUGAUGUAAGUCAUAUAAAACUCUUUGGCCCUUUCACUCACUUUGUCACAAGAUGAAUUGAGAAUGCUUUUUGUUUUUCACAGUUUUUUUGCUAAUGUUGUGCCCAUAUAUUGUAUGUCUGCAGACUUGUCGAUAACCUGGUUUGCGAAGAAACAGGAGCAGCUGGGCAAAGUUACUGUACCAUUCCACAAUCCAACACCUCCUCCUACUCGACACCACCUAAUAAUUGCAUCCCACCCCUUUGCAAUUCAAAUCAGGCCUCCAGCCCCAACUGUAAAUGUAGCUCUCCUUACACAGGAACUUUAGUCUUCAGAUCUCCUUCUUUCUCAGUUUUAGGAAACUCGACUUAUUUCGAAAGCCUCGCAAGCUCUAUGAUGAUCUCUUUUCAGUCCAAUCAACUUCCAGUAGAUUCUAUCUCACUGAGUGAUCCACGCAAGGAUUCAUUUGAUUACCUUCAAUUGAAUAUCGCGGUCUUCCCAUCUGAGGGGGUUAGUUUCAAUCGGAUGAGCAUAUACAGUAUUGGCUUUGUGCUCAGUAAUCAGACUUACAAGCCUCCAAAAUUAUUUGGGCCUUUCUAUUUCAUCGCGGAUCAGUACACAAAUUUUGCGGGUAAUAUCUCCAAUUAUUUUACAGCGACACGCAUUCCGUUGCCUUGUCUAUCUAGAUUGUCUUUAUUUCUUCAUCAUACUAACGACCAUCUUUCUCCCUCUUUCUCACAGAAGUACAAGUACCAAAAACAUCCAAAAAAUCGACAAACAUCGGAGUCAUCAUUGGUGCAGCAGCUGGUGGUUUUGUUCUCCUCAUGCUAUUGGCUCUUGUAGGGGUUUAUGCUUUUCGUCAAAAGAAAAGAGCAGAAAAGGCUACAGAGCAAAGAAACCCUUUUGGUAGGGCAGAUUCACUGCAUACUUGCCACUUAGCUUUUCUCUGAUUCUGGAAGUAACUCUCAGUCAAUAUUAGUUGUUAUUUAUGGAAAUACAGUAAACUGGGACCCGAAAAAGAGCAGCGGCGAAGUCCCCCAACUCAGAGGAGCUAGAUGUUUCUCUAUAGAAGAGCUUAAGAAAUACACCAACAACUUCUCAGAAGACAAUGAAAUUGGAUCUGGCGGUUAUGGAAAGGUUUACUCUCUUGGCCCUCAGUUCUGUUCAGAGAAACCUAAAUUAGCAUACUCUUGCUCCUAUAACCUUUAUGACAUACCCAGAGCCUUUCGUUGCAUUCCUCAUGAUAACAAGAAAAACCUUCUGUAUAAGUUCCAUUUGUUCACCACCUUGUUUAAAGUGCAGGCUCACUGUAUGACAGUUACUGAGUUUGAAAUCUUCUGCUAGAAUUUCACAUGAACAGAUAAGGCCUUCUUUGACUUGACAAAAGCAGAUGUGAGUUUGUUCAUACAGAAAAAAAGUAAAGCUGAGAGAUGGGCAAAGUCGUACAAGUUGCUACACAUUAGUUUCUACUUAGUUUUCUUCUCUUUCCAAGAGAGUCUUAUAUUUUCACAUGGCUUUAAAUUUUUCAACCGCUUUUAUUAUCUGAACGUUUCCAUUUAAGUUGAUCCUUGAUUCCAUUAUAUUCCUGAACAGUAGAUGAUUCUAAAAUUUUGCCUAGCCUUAAUUUCCUGUUUAUGUCUCUUAAUUCUGAGAACUGGAUUGACACUGUGCCAGCAUUGUGAAAUUUUUGUUUGUCUUCAGAAUCAUCAGGCUGUCCUGAAAACUGGCCAACUUAUAAAUUUUGUUGUUGCUGUGGCAGGUCUACAGGGGUACUCUGCCCACUGGAACUCUAGUUGCCAUAAAACGAGCACAGCAGGGAUCUAUGCAGGGUGGGUUCGAGUUCAAAAACGAGAUUGAGCUUCUAUCAAGAGUCCAUCAUAAGAAUCUUGUCACCCUUGUCGGAUUUUGUUUUGAGCAAAGUGAACAAUUGCUAGUGUACGAGUUCCUUCCAAAUGGUACCCUCAAAGAGAGUCUCUCAGGUAUCUCCUCUCAAGUUUCUUAUGUUGAGAAAGCAUUCAUGUGGAAUUUAGGUUUUUCAAGAAAAAAAUCCUCGCUUAUAUCAUCUGUGUUCACAACUGCAACUUUUGACUUGCAGGAAAGUCAGGAAUAAGGUUGGAUUGGGCAAGAAGACUCAAAGUAUCCAUUGGUGCAGCCCGAGGUCUGGCUUAUCUUCAUGAGCUUGCUAAUCCUCCGAUCAUACAUAGGGACAUAAAAUCAACCAACAUCCUAUUGGAUGAUCACUUGAAUGCAAAAGUUGCUGAUUUUGGUCUCUCCAAGCUCGUGGGAGAAGAUGAAAGGGGUCAUGUCACCACUCAAGUCAAAGGAACAAUGGUCAGUAAUUAGCUUUAGUCUAACGUCAGAUAGUCAAACUUUUCUCAGCAACACACAGACUUUGAAUGAGUUUUUUGAUUCCUAAAAACUUUCGCGGAAAUUUUACAUUUGUUCCCUGAUUCCUAGAACAAUCCAUGUUCUUGAGAACCUGGUAACUGUCUGGAGAAGAAGUGCACUUUAGAACAAUCAUGAUUAUUUCUGCAGUCAUAAGAGAGAAAAUGCUAGUUUGUCUCAGAACAAGAGACAAUUAAUUUAGCUAUGUCGAUGGAAAUAGGGUUUAGUGUUGGUCAUUGUUGUUUGUGUAAUUUUCUUGAUGAGUUUUACAAACCAAUCAUGCUAUAUUCUUCUGUAGGGCUACUUGGAUCCUGAAUACUACAUGACGCAGCAGCUGACUGAGAAGAGCGAUGUCUAUGGCUUCGGAGUAUUGAUGCUGGAACUCCUUACAGCCAGAAGGCCAAUAGAGCGGGGCAGAUAUAUUGUGAGAGAAGUGAGGGUGCUUAUGAAUAAGGACAAAGAUUUGUACAAUCUGCAGGGGAUUCUCGACCCAGCCAUUGGUCUGGGCACGUCUUUGAAGGGUCUCGAGAGGUUUGUGGAGUUAGCAAUGAGAUGUGUGGAAGAAUCAGGAGCAGACAGGCCAACCAUGGGAGAGGUGGUGAAGGAAAUCGAGAACAUCAUGGUUUUCGAGGGUUUGAAUCCAAAGGCCGAAUCCGCAACCGCUUCAGCCAGUUAUGAGGAGGCGAGUAAGGGGUAUUCCACACAUCCCUACAGCAACGAGGACUUCUUAGAGUAUAGUGGGGGCUUCCCACCUUCAAGGAUCGAACCCCAGUAGGCAAAUUACAGUCAUGAUCAGCUUCAGUGUACAUUAAGAAAAUCAAACUAGCAUAUGUAGUCAUGACCAACUCUUUCCAGAUGUUCA